This 429-nucleotide ribosomal RNA is filed under the name Bacteroidota bacterium. RNAcentral describes it as "Bacteroidetes bacterium partial 16S ribosomal RNA". It matches the Rfam family "Bacterial small subunit ribosomal RNA", at positions 355 to 776 of the family's 1533-position model. Lineage: Bacteria; Pseudomonadati; Bacteroidota. The record is from RNAcentral.
UAGGGAAUCUUCGGCAAUGGGGGGAACCCUGACCGAGCGACGCCGCGUGAGUGAAGAAGGUUUUCGGAUCGUAAAGCUCUGUUGUUAAGGAAGAACGAGUGUGAGAAUGGAAAGUUCAUGCUGUGACGGUACUUAACCAGAAAGGGACGGCUAACUACGUGCCAGCAGCCGCGGUAAUACGUAGGUCCCGAGCGUUGUCCGGAUUUAUUGGGCGUAAAGCGAGCGCAGGCGGUUAGAAAAGUCUGAAGUGAAAGGCAGUGGCUCAACCAUUGUAGGCUUUGGAAACUGUUUAACUUGAGUGCAGAAGGGGAGAGUGGAAUUCCAUGUGUAGCGGUGAAAUGCGUAGAUAUAUGGAGGAACACCGGUGGCGAAAGCGGCUCUCUGGUCUGUAACUGACGCUGAGGCUCGAAAGCGUGGGGAGCGAACAGG